RNAcentral lists this long non-coding RNA (234 nucleotides) under Gossypium raimondii (Peruvian cotton). Its description in RNAcentral is "long non-coding RNA (GRAI_LNC001503)". The record is from RNAcentral. Lineage: Eukaryota; Viridiplantae; Streptophyta; Magnoliopsida; Malvales; Malvaceae.
GAUGGUGGCCAGUGGGUGUUGGUGGAGUGGAGAGCGAAAAAUGUAUCAUUACUUUGUCAGGGAUUUAGGGCUUCGUUCAAAGAGAGUUGAAUAAAGAAAAAUAGAUGAAGAAAAUUUUGGUUUUAUUUUUAUGUUUUAACUUUUAUUGCAUUAAAUAUUAUUAUAAAAAUUUUAUAUUUCGGGUUGGGUUUAAGAUAAGGAGGUUGGAUAGUUUUUUAGGUUUUAACAUUUGGG